GAUUCCUGGCAGAGUGAUUUGGAUAUGUAUGGUACAAAAUCACAUUGCCAGGGAUUUCCA
RNAcentral lists this microRNA precursor (60 nucleotides) under Xenopus laevis (African clawed frog). Its description in RNAcentral is "microRNA xla-mir-23a precursor (xla-mir-23a-2)". Its record names the gene xla-mir-23a-2. It matches the Rfam family "mir-23 microRNA precursor family", at positions 11 to 68 of the family's 73-position model. Lineage: Eukaryota; Metazoa; Chordata; Amphibia; Anura; Pipidae. The record is from miRBase by way of RNAcentral.